RNAcentral lists this ribosomal RNA (411 nucleotides) under uncultured bacterium. RNAcentral's name for it is "bacterial SSU rRNA". It matches the Rfam family "Bacterial small subunit ribosomal RNA", at positions 355 to 763 of the family's 1533-position model. The record is from RNAcentral.
UAAGGAAUAUUGGACAAUGGAGGCAACUCUGAUCCAGCCAUGCCGCGUGAAGGAAUAAGGCCCUAUGGGUUGUAAACUUCUUUUAGACGGGACAAAACCCCUUUACGUGUAAAGGGUUGAUGGUACUGUCAGAAUAAGCAUCGGCUAACUUCGUGCCGGCAGCCGCGGUAAUACGAAGGAUGCAAGCGUUAUCCGGAAUUCUUGGGUUUAAAGGGUGCGUAGGCGGACUAAUAAGUCAGUGGUGAAAGCCUGCAGCUUAACUGCAGAAUUGCCAUUGAUACUGGUAGUCUUGAGUAUAGUUGAGGUAGGCGGAAUGUGUCAUGUAGCGGUGAAAUGCUUAGAUAUGACACAGAACACCGAUUGCGAAGGCAGCUUGCUAAGCUGUAACUGACGCUGAGGCACGAAAGCGUG